Molecule: ribosomal RNA, 301 nt
Filed under: uncultured Sebacinaceae
Lineage: Eukaryota; Fungi; Basidiomycota; Agaricomycetes; Sebacinales; Sebacinaceae
Description: eukaryotic LSU rRNA
Source: RNAcentral
AACGCACCUUGCACCCUUUGGAAUUCCGAGGGGUAUGCUCGUUUGAGUGUCAUUGUAAUCUCACACUUUCUCUGAUCCUUUUGGAUUUGGGGAGUGGUGGACUUGGGUGUUUGCUGCUUCCCCUGUGGCUCACCUCAAAUGUGUCAGUGCAUCUCUUGGUUGUACAUAGUACGGCGUGAUAAGUGUCUUCGCCGACACCUCGAAAGAGGGUGGCCAAUCAGGAGCUCUGUGCUUCAAACCGUCUUCAGACAAUCUUUGACAACUUGACCUCAAAUCGAGUAGGAUUACCUGCUGAACUUAA